CUGUGGCGGACCCAGAUCACGCCGCAGCUGCAGGGCGCCGGCGUCUACCACUACGUCGACGGCACGUCGACCGAGCCGGCCAAAACCCACAUCACCAAAGAUGCCGCUGGGAAAGAAACCGAGGGGCCGAAUCCUCUCCAUCCGCUCUGGGUGAAGGAGGAUCAGCAGGUCCUUGGAUAUCUACUCCAACACCUAUCCAAGGAGGUGCUCGUCACGGUGACUGCGAUCACCACGGCGCGCGAACUCUGGGUGGCGCUGGCGAGCAUGUUCUCAUCGCAGUCACUCAGCCGCGUCAACAACAUUCGCACGGCGCUGAUCAACGCGCAGAAGAGCAACCAAUCGGUGUCCUCCUUCUUUGCCGCCAUGAAGGGGCUUGCUGAUGAGCUCGCCGCGGCGGGAAAACCAAUCCAAGACGACGAGCUCAUAUCCUACAUCAUCCACGGGGUGGACCAAGACUAUCAGCCCCUCGUCUCCGCUUUGGACGCCCGCGUCACUCCGGUAACCCUUGAUGAGCUCUUCGCUAUGCGUAGCAAUUUUGAUCAGCGCAUGGCGCAGUUUCACGGCUCCGGCGACGGCUUCAAGUCCUCGGCCAACUCUAUCUCCAGAGGCCGCGGUGGCGGCUCUCGCUCUCGAUCCUCCUCUCGUGGCAAGGGGAGGUCCGGUGGCGGCGGCUACUCCAACAACACUCGCGGCGGCGGACGCUCUGGCAGCUCAAAAGGGCGCCGUGGUGGCGGCUCCAACAGAUCGCGUCCGGACUUGCCUUGCUGCCAAAUUUGUGGCAAGCCCGGCCACACGGCGAGGGAC
Molecule: ribosomal RNA, 804 nt
Filed under: Triticum aestivum (bread wheat)
Lineage: Eukaryota; Viridiplantae; Streptophyta; Magnoliopsida; Poales; Poaceae
Description: partial small subunit ribosomal RNA
Source: RNAcentral